GGCCCCCUUGCCCGGCGACCAUGGCGUUGCGAUUGUAGGAGCCGAGCUCCCCAACGCAAACCACCACUGGCCAAACAGAUGAACCCACGACUCUAGCCUCAGCGUCUCCGACAGCACCGCCUCGAGUAUCGUCCAGCCACUUAGCGGUGUCUCUGUCGUGCGAUUUCGCUGCUGAAUUGAGCGUGAGCAUCCAUAAGAACCACCCUGAGCGAGGUAGGAAUUUUAGGGCAACGUGUCUGUGG
Molecule: long non-coding RNA, 242 nt
Filed under: Salvia miltiorrhiza (redroot sage)
Lineage: Eukaryota; Viridiplantae; Streptophyta; Magnoliopsida; Lamiales; Lamiaceae
Description: long non-coding RNA (SMIL_LNC008690)
Source: RNAcentral